Molecule: ribosomal RNA, 1960 nt
Filed under: Salmonella enterica
Lineage: Bacteria; Pseudomonadati; Pseudomonadota; Gammaproteobacteria; Enterobacterales; Enterobacteriaceae
Also listed under: 1 other name
Description: partial 23S ribosomal RNA
Rfam family: Bacterial large subunit ribosomal RNA
Source: RNAcentral
AAUCCAUAGGUUAAUGAGGCGAACCGGGGGAACUGAAACAUCUAAGUACCCCGAGGAAAAGAAAUCAACCGAGAUUCCCCCAGUAGCGGCGAGCGAACGGGGAGGAGCCCAGAGCCUGAAUCAGCAUGUGUGUUAGUGGAAGCGUCUGGAAAGGCGCGCGAUACAGGGUGACAGCCCCGUACACAAAAGCGCAUGUGCUGUGAGCUCGAUGAGUAGGGCGGGACACGUGGUAUCCUGUCUGAAUAUGGGGGGACCAUCCUCCAAGGCUAAAUACUCCUGACUGACCGAUAGUGAACCAGUACCGUGAGGGAAAGGCGAAAAGAACCCCGGCGAGGGGAGUGAAAAAGAACCUGAAACCGUGUACGUACAAGCAGUGGGAGCACAGGUUUACCUGUGUGACUGCGUACCUUUUGUAUAAUGGGUCAGCGACUUAUAUUCUGUAGCAAGGUUAACCGAAUAGGGGAGCCGGAGGGAAACCGAGUCUUAAUUGGGCGUUAAGUUGCAGGGUAUAGACCCGAAACCCGGUGAUCUAGCCAUGGGCAGGUUGAAGGUUGGGUAACACUAACUGGAGGACCGAACCGACUAAUGUUGAAAAAUUAGCGGAUGACCUGUGGCUGGGGGUGAAAGGCCAAUCAAACCGGGAGAUAGCUGGUUCUCCCCGAAAGCUAUUUAGGUAGCGCCUCGUGAAUUCAUCUCCGGGGGUAGAGCACUGUUUCGGCUAGGGGGCCAUCCCGGCUUACCAACCCGAUGCAAACUGCGAAUACCGGAGAAUGUUAUCACGGGAGACACACGGCGGGUGCUAACGUCCGUCGUGAAGAGGGAAACAACCCAGACCGCCAGCUAAGGUCCCAAAGUCAUGGUUAAGUGGGAAACGAUGUGGGAAGGCCCAGACAGCCAGGAUGUUGGCUUAGAAGCAGCCAUCAUUUAAAGAAAGCGUAAUAGCUCACUGGUCGAGUCGGCCUGCGCGGAAGAUGUAACGGGGCUAAACCAUGCACCGAAGCUGCGGCAGCGACGCUUAUGCGUUGUUGGGUAGGGGAGCGUUCUGUAAGCCUGUGAAGGUGGCCUGUGAGGGUUGCUGGAGGUAUCAGAAGUGCGAAUGCUGACAUAAGUAACGAUAAAGCGGGUGAAAAGCCCGCUCGCCGGAAGACCAAGGGUUCCUGUCCAACGUUAAUCGGGGCAGGGUGAGUCGACCCCUAAGGCGAGGCCGAAAGGCGUAGUCGAUGGGAAACGGGUUAAUAUUCCCGUACUUGGUGUUACUGCGAAGGGGGGACGGAGAAGGCUAUGUUGGCCGGGCGACGGUUGUCCCGGUUUAAGCGUGUAGGUGUGUGUUCCAGGUAAAUCCGGUUCACUUUAACACUGAGGCGUGAUGACGAGGCACUACGGUGCUGAAGUAACAAAUGCCCUGCUUCCAGGAAAAGCCUCUAAGCAUCAGGUAACAUCAAAUCGUACCCCAAACCGACACAGGUGGUCAGGUAGAGAAUACCAAGGCGCUUGAGAGAACUCGGGUGAAGGAACUAGGCAAAAUGGUGCCGUAACUUCGGGAGAAGGCACGCUGACACGUAGGUGAAGUGAUUUACUCACGGAGCUGAAGUCAGUCGAAGAUACCAGCUGGCUGCAACUGUUUAUUAAAAACACAGCACUGUGCAAACACGAAAGUGGACGUAUACGGUGUGACGCCUGCCCGGUGCCGGAAGGUUAAUUGAUGGGGUCAGCGCAAGCGAAGCUCCUGAUCGAAGCCCCGGUAAACGGCGGCCGUAACUAUAACGGUCCUAAGGUAGCGAAAUUCCUUGUCGGGUAAGUUCCGACCUGCACGAAUGGCGUAAUGAUGGCCAGGCUGUCUCCACCCGAGACUCAGUGAAAUUGAACUCGCUGUGAAGAUGCAGUGUACCCGCGGCAAGACGGAAAGACCCCGUGAACCUUUACUAUAGCUUGACACUGAACAUUGAGCCUUGAUGUGUAG